UACGUAGGGUGCGAGCGUUAUUCGGAAUUACUGGGCGUAAAGCGUGCGCAGGCGGUUUUGUAAGUCAGAUGUGAAAUCCCCGGGCUUAACCUGGGAAUGGCAUUUGGGACUGCAAGGCUCGAGUGCGGCAGAGGAGACUGGAAUUCCUGGUGUAGCAGUGAAAUGCGUAGAUAUCAGGAGGAACACCGGUGGCGAAGGCGGAUCUCUGGGCCAUUACUGACGCUGAGGAGCGAAAGCGUGGGGAGCAAACAGG
Molecule: ribosomal RNA, 253 nt
Filed under: uncultured bacterium
Lineage: Bacteria
Description: partial 16S ribosomal RNA
Rfam family: Bacterial small subunit ribosomal RNA
Source: RNAcentral